RNAcentral lists this long non-coding RNA (772 nucleotides) under Homo sapiens (human). RNAcentral describes it as "HSALNT0101047". The record is from RNAcentral. Lineage: Eukaryota; Metazoa; Chordata; Mammalia; Primates; Hominidae.
AUCAGAUCACUUUUAGACAUCAUGUAAGAACCUGUAUUCUUUCCCAUGAGAUGGUCACAAUGACAGAACAUAAUCAAGAAGGAUAUUGGGAGAUUUAUCAUUCCUCAUCUUUUAAAAAAAUUGAUGUUUGAUUGACAUUUAUCAAAGCUUUGCUGCAUCAGUAAAGGCUCAAGUUUAUUCAUAUGUAUUGAUCCCCUUGGUUGUUCAGCUAAAUAAAGUUUUGAACAGAUUUGGAAUACAAAUCUUCAAAAAUGCUUUUCACCUGCAGCGUGAAACUUGAAGCUCAUCCCUUUGGCUCAAAGUCCAGCUGAAUUAUGUACUUUUCCUGAAAUUUUAACUUUGACUAUCUAAGAGUCUUACUGUAAGACUUCACUUCCAGAAAACAUUGAGAUAUAGGGACUCUGGCUACUCUACUGUGCCCUACAUACAGUUACGUCUUAUUUUAUGAUAGUAUUUUUAAACCUUGUUAUUUUAUAACACAUUUAUGUUUUGUAGAGGCCUAGAUAUCAAUGCAAAUUUCAAAGCAAGUGAUCAUGAGUCCUGAUAAGGAGAUAAUAUGCUUUGAAAUAGGAAGAAAUGAGACUAUUUUAAGAAUGACUGAUGGUGCCCUGGCAUUCCUUCUCCCCUGUGCCCUUGGAGGGUAUUUAGUGCUACCUAGAAUGUGAGUCAGAGAAGGUACAGAUAGGAAGAACUGUUCUCACACCACAGGAGAAGUAACAGCUCAAGGGCCUAGCUAGUCAGAGCAGUGUGGCACUGCUGCUCCAGAAGUCUG